This 1270-nucleotide long non-coding RNA is filed under the name Callithrix jacchus (white-tufted-ear marmoset). RNAcentral describes it as "lncRNA (ENSCJAG00000073903.1)". Lineage: Eukaryota; Metazoa; Chordata; Mammalia; Primates; Cebidae. The record is from RNAcentral.
CACAAGGUGAUUAGUGGAAAAAGAAGCCCUCAUUAUGUUACGGCAGCCAAAGCACUGAGCCGUGAGGGUUGUAUGCUGCCCAUCCUAAAUUUGUUUAUUCUGUCUAGGAUAUGCCUCCAUUACAGAUCAUCCUCUCUGCUCCAGUGCUACUCUAAUUGAGUUAUCUGCAGACUUGCACACAUAAAACCAGCAUUAUGCUUAUCUAAUCAAAAGGGACCUCCUUAGAAUUGAAUCUCUCUUUUUCUGUUUGUGUGUACACAUAUGUGUCUGUAAGCAAUAUAGUAUUCUGUAAUUACUCUACUGAUCAUUCUGUGAAUGUCUUUUGCUGAAUUAAGAGCAAGUUUCUUGAAGUUGACAGGGUCUGCAGAUAAGCUUCAAGAAAUAUAAAUCCCCUGAAAUGAUGGCCUUUUAAAAUUGUUUUCUAUGCAUAGGUGCAUCUCAUCUCUAGUUUUUAUCAGAUUUUCAACGGAGCCUUUUUUCUUUCUUUUAAACUAGGAACCUCUAGUGAAGGUGCUGCAUAAGUUUGAAAAGGGGAGAACUUACAGUGGUCCAGAUUCCAGCUCUGAUACUUGCUGGUUUUGCUAUAUAUUCUUAUCACUGUCCUAGAUUUAGGAAGAUUAGAAGAAUUGAUUACUCACUCUAGCUAAUUCAUAAUAAUCUGAGGUAUGUUAACUGGAAUACAAUUAACUAAUUUAAAUAGUGCUGCAUCAAUUCAGUAGAUAGGGUAAUUUUAGGGCAGAACAUUGUCCUACUUGCCUGCUCUCUCCAUUUAAGCAAAUUACAGAAGUCAAAUUAUCAAUGCAUUUGUUGCUAAGCAACCAGUUUUCACAAGAGAUAUUUCUGUUAGAUGAACUAUAGUUCAGUUGGUCUGGAAAAUACCCUCUUCCUUAGACCAUGUUUGAAUAGGUUUCUGAUAACUUUGGAGAUUGCGACAUCAGGAUAGAGGAAAAACUUUCAGGAUUCAUGAAGAGCUGAAAUGCUUAUGAAUGUCAAGCAGAACAGGAACUAACCAUACAGACUGAACUAACAGAAGACAAGUAAUCUUUUUUGUUUUGCUUAAAAUGAUGCUGAUUCUUUGUUUUGUUUUCCAGAGUCAAGGAAACUUUUCUUUUGCACUAUUGACAGCUUUUAACAAUUAAGUAUACUCCUAUAAACAAAAUUUGAAUCAUACUUGUUUCUCUCUACCUGAUUCCUCCAGAAUUUGGAAAGUAUUUGUGAAUAUUCUUAACUUAUUAUAUAGUUAUUUGCAUAAGUGCAAUAACAAUCUAUU